Penaeus monodon (black tiger shrimp) is the source of this 156-nucleotide small nuclear RNA. RefSeq annotates it as U1 spliceosomal RNA. The transcript has a single exon. NCBI's taxonomy places the organism in Eukaryota, Metazoa, Arthropoda, Malacostraca, Decapoda, Penaeidae. The record is from RefSeq and is a predicted model, not a curated record.
AUACUUCCUUGCACGGGAUACCUGAUCAUGAAGGGGGUUUUCCCCAAGGCGAGGCUCACCAUUCACUCCGUUGGCGCUGACCCUUGCGUUAACCCAAAAAGUGGUUACUCAGUGCGCAAUUUUUUUUAGUGGGGGACUGCGUUCGGCUAUCCCCCU